UGAAAGAAGGACAAAAGCAAGAAUAAAGA
This 29-nucleotide non-coding RNA is filed under the name Mus musculus (house mouse). Lineage: Eukaryota; Metazoa; Chordata; Mammalia; Rodentia; Muridae. The record is from RNAcentral.